RNAcentral lists this ribosomal RNA (432 nucleotides) under uncultured bacterium. RNAcentral's name for it is "bacterial SSU rRNA". It matches the Rfam family "Bacterial small subunit ribosomal RNA", at positions 917 to 1344 of the family's 1533-position model. The record is from RNAcentral.
GAGCUCGCACAAGCGGUGGAGCACGUUGUUUAAUUCGAUGAUCCCCGAAAAACCUUACCAGCCCUUGACAUGAAAAUUUUAAGACUAAGAAAUUAGUCUUUUCAGUUUAGCUGGAUUUUCACAGGCGUUGCAUGGUCGUAGUAAGUUCGUGUCUUGAGAUGUUGGGUUAAGUCCUUUAACGAACGCAACCAUUAUUUCUAGUUGCCAUCGAGUAAUGUCGGGAACUUUAGAAAGACUGCUGAUUAAAAAUCAGAGGAAGGUGAUGAUGACUUCAGAUCCUCAUGACCCUUAUGGGCUGGGCUACAAAUGUGCUACAUUGGUAGGUACAAUAAGUUGCAAUAUAGCAAUAUAAAGCUAAAUCUUUAAAAACCUAUCUAAGUUCGGAUCGUUCUCUGCAAUUCGAGAACGUGAAGCAGGAAUCGCUAGUAAUCG